Molecule: ribosomal RNA, 460 nt
Filed under: uncultured bacterium
Lineage: Bacteria
Description: partial 16S ribosomal RNA
Rfam family: Bacterial small subunit ribosomal RNA
Source: RNAcentral
CCUACGGGAGGCAGCAGUGAGGAAUAUUGGUCAAUGGACGCAAGUCUGAACCAGCCAUGCCGCGUGCAGGAAGACGGCUCUAUGAGUUGUAAACUGCUUUUGUACGAGGGUAAACGCAGAUACGCGUAUCUGUUUGAAAGUAUCGUAUGAAUAAGGAUCGGCUAACUCCGUGCCAGCAGCCGCGGUAAUACGGAGGAUUCAAGCGUUAUCCGGAUUUAUUGGGUUUAAAGGGUGCGUAGGCGGUCGGAUAAGUUAGAGGUGAAAGCCCGAGGAUCAACUUCGGAAUUGUCUUUGAUACUGUUCGGCUAGAGAGUAGUUGCGGUAGGCGGAAUGUAUGGUGGAGCGGUGAAAUGCUUAGAGAUCAUACAGAACACCGAUUGCGAAGGCAGCUUACCAAGCUACUUCUGACGUGGAGGCACGAAAGUGUGGGGAGCAAACAGGAUUAGAUACCCGAGUAGUC